UACGGAGGAUCCAAGCGUUAUCCGGAUUUAUUGGGUUUAAAGGGUGCGUAGGCGGCUUGUUAAGUCAGGGGUGAAAGGCGGUAGCUUAACUAUCGGAGUGCCCUUGAUACUGACGAGCUUGAAUGCAGCUGAGGUAGGCGGAAUGUGACAAGUAGCGGUGAAAUGCAUAGAUAUGUCACAGAACACCGAUUGCGAAGGCAGCUUACUAAAGUGCGAUUGACGCUGAGGCACGAAAGCCAGGGGAGCAAACGGG
This 253-nucleotide ribosomal RNA is filed under the name uncultured bacterium. Its description in RNAcentral is "partial 16S ribosomal RNA". It matches the Rfam family "Bacterial small subunit ribosomal RNA", at positions 524 to 776 of the family's 1533-position model. The record is from RNAcentral.